Long non-coding RNA from Clupea harengus (Atlantic herring), 3084 nucleotides. The record is from Ensembl. NCBI's taxonomy places the organism in Eukaryota, Metazoa, Chordata, Actinopteri, Clupeiformes, Clupeidae.
UGGUGGUAAAUUAAUUCAUAUUUAUUUAAAAAUAGAACAGAAAAUAAAACAUUUGAAAAGAUAAUAAUAAAGUUACAUUGAUGGGUGGAUAAUCAAAUAAUGUACAUUAAAGCUGCCUAAUACAUUUUUAUGUGUGUGAGUGUGUGUGUGUGUAUGUGUGUGUGUGUGUGUGUGUGCCUGCGUCUGAAUUGAUGGUAAACACACACACUCCCUGUCUAUCAAAGUUGCCUUACAGACACAAGCGCUUUCACAUUCCCAGUAAGAGCAAAGGACAGGAUGCAAAUCAGGAGCAACAGCACACACACACACACACACACACAAAAACAUCAUACAGACUUACACAUCACAGAGACACACACGGUGCACACACAUCAGACAGCUUGCUUGAACUUUACAGAUGUGUGUGUGAGAGACAGGCGUCAGAUCUGUUGGGGGACCACUGACACUCAAGUCUGCUGUGUGUGUGAUGGGUGUGUGUAUAUGUGUGUAAGAGACUCAUGGCUGCUGUGUGUGUGUGUGUAUAUAUGUGUGAGAGAAUCAAGUCUGCUGUGUGUGUGAUGGGUGUGUGUGUAUAUGUGUGUGAGAGACUCAAGUCUGCUGUGUGUGUGAUGGGUGGUAGCAGGAGUGGUGAAAGCCCUCAGACAACACACAUAUUGUGCUAAUUGACAACACACACACACACACACACACACACACUUAUUGUUACCAUAUUAAUACAAUGACUUGCAGUUGACAGGGAACCCUCCACUCUGUGUGCAGCUGAUGUGUGUUGGGGAAGGGACUGUUAUGUUUUCCACGGAGUAGGGAUGUCGACAUGUACAAUGUUAAUACACACAGCAUAACAUUUAACUGAGUCUUAUACAGGUUAAUUUCAGAACAUCUCUUUGUCUGUCUUCUAGGUAAUUAAAACACUCAAAAUGAUAUUUUUUUUUGGAUAAAAAUUAUUUAUUUUCAGUAAAACUGUAAUACCAUGGAUACUAUAAUACAUAACUGGAAGGAUGCUAGACAUGUGGCUGUAGAGGAGAAAAACACAGAUUUUCAUACAAAAUAAUCUGUUAUAAAGUGCCUUCAUAUUCCAAAGUAUAUAAAUGUGAAUAGGUAGCCAACUUUCUUAUAGACAACAGAUAAUUAAAGACCGAUGCUACUGCUAAUUCCAAUGCUAAUGCUGAUGAAUCUAGACUGGAUUAGACCCUGAUCGCCCCCAGCUCAUAUGUUAACUGGUUAGCCCUUAAUGCAUUUCUAUGGAUGUAUCUGCUAACUGGUUAGCCCUUAAUGCAUUUCUAUGGAUGUAUCUGCUAACUGGUUAGCCCUUAAGGCAUUUCUAUGGAUGUAUAUGCUAACUGGUUAGCCCUUAAUGCAUUUCUAUGGAUGUAUAUGCUAACUGGUUAGCCCUUAAUGCAUUUCUAUGAGUGUAUCUGUAGAUAUGACAAAGCUACAGAGAACAGUGUUGUGUAUGUGUGUAUGUUGAUGUAAGAGGACAGUGUUGUGUGUGUGUGUGUAUGUUCAUGUCAGUGUUGUGUGUGUGUGUGUGUGUGUGUGUGUGUGUGUACGUUGAUGUAAGAGGACAGUGUUGGGUUUGUGUGUGUGAAAGAUGUUUGUCCUUACAAUGGUUUUGUGGGAAGGAGAUGUUGAUUAUUUGGGCUAAGGCUUGGUAUGUUUGCGAGUGAGAUCUGUGUGUGUGUGUGUGUGAGAGAGAUCUGUGUGUGAGAGAGAGUGAAAGCUGUGUGUGUGUGUGUGUGUGUGUGUGUUUGUGUGUGUGUGUGUGUGUGUGUUUGUGUACAUUAGUGUGAGAGAGUGGGAGCUGUGUGUGUUUGUGUGACACCCAGUAUUUGGACUAAUGAUGCAAUUACGCCGCAUGCCACACAUACACUGACUGCUCCAUUAACAUUGUGCUCAUGUCCAGAUGUUCAGUUGUACACACACACACACACACACACAGAACACAGAGAACAACUUCCAGUAAGGCUCAUUACGUUCUCUGAAAAGUAAAAUGAAACCGGUUUGCUUGGGGGCUUGUUUACGCUGGCGAUCCAGAGAAAGAAAACAGCUUGUCAUGAGCCGAAAACAGAACGAGAGAACAGAACUUUCCCACCGUUCACAAAUCUGAUAGUGGACACUGGCCAUUAUUACCACAGCCGAGACUGGCACACAUACGGCACAGGUCUGUUACGCAUGCGGCACAGAACUGGCAUGAAUACGGCACAGGUCUGAGCUGCCAUCUGCAUGUCUCAUCUGUUCUCGUGACUGGGCUUGGUCUCUAUUACACACGCCUCUACUAACCUUUCCUCUGUGUGCUCUUUCUCUCUCUCUCGCACACUAACCCUUUCCUCUGCUGCGUGUGUGUGGAAGGCCUCCUUCUCUAUCGUAGAUGACACAGAUGCCCCCCUUGCAACCCCCCCCCCCCCCAAGAUGCUGAUCCUUAUGCCCCCCACCCCCACCAGCAGAGAGAAAGGCGUAAAUGCAACGGCUACUCCAAAAAUAACGCUUUACUGGAUUAUUAGGUAAAAAAAUUCAUGGUAUAUACAUCAGACGUACAGACACACAUUUAUAUAUUUAUAUAAUAAACAUUUAUAUACGAUAUAAUUACACUUGUGUGGAGGAGGAGUCUCUGAGGGAUUUGAAGAGGUGAUUGGACGGAUAUUUGAUUGACUUGAUUGACAGCUCCAGUUGCUUGAUGGGUAGGUGCCUCGAGGCAGAGAUUGGUUGACCGAUGAAGCGAGACGAUUGGUUGGAAGAUGAAGGAAACUGAUUGGCUGGUAUUGAAGAGGACUGACUGCUUGAUUGGCUGACGUAAAAUUGAGCUGAUUGGCUGGCAGAGGAAGAGAGCUGAUUGGCUGAGUAAGUGCUGGAGUGACAAUGAAACCCUCAGAUGUCUGGAGUGUUUGUGUGUGUGUGUGUGUGUGUGUGUGUGUGUGUGUGUGUGUGUGUCUGUGUGUGUCUGUGUGUAGGGGGGGUUCUGAUCCGCUGCUGCUUGGAUGCAGUCAUCUCACUGUUUGGUCCUCUUCAUUCUGCAGAGGAGAGGACACAGGAAAGAGAGUGAGACAAGCUGGGCUACAGGCACAUUGAGGUGUGUGUGUGUGUGUA